CCCAAAAUAUAUGUUAAGUGGAAAAGGAUGUGGCGUUGCCCAGACAACUAGGAUGUUGGCUUAGAAGCAGCCAUCAUUUAAAGAGUGCGUAAUAGCUCACUAGUCGAGUGACACUGCGCCGAAAAUGUACCGGGGCUAAACAUAUUACCGAAGCUGUGGAUUGUCCUUUGGACAAUGGUAGGAGAGCGUUCUAAGGGCGUUGAAGCAUGAUCGUAAGGACAUGUGGAGCGCUUAGAAGUGAGAAUGCCGGUGUGAGUAGCGAAAGACGGGUGAGAAUCCCGUCCACCGAUUGACUAAGGUUUCCAGAGGAAGGCUCGUCCGCUCUGGGUUAGUCGGGUCCUAAGCUGAGGCCGACAGGCGUAGGCGAUGGAUAACAGGUUGAUAUUCCUGUACCACCUAUAAUCGUUUUAAUCGAUGGGGGGACGCAGUAGGAUAGGCGAAGCGUGCGAUUGGAUUGCACGUCUAAGCAGUAAGGCUGAGUAUUAGGCAAAUCCGGUACUCGUUAAGGCUGAGCUGUGAUGGGGAGAAGACAUUGAGUCUUCGAGUCGUUGAUUUCACACUGCCGAGAAAAGCCUCUAGAUAGAAAAUAGGUGCCCGUACCGCAAACCGACACAGGUAGUCAAGAUGAGAAUUCUAAGGUGAGCGAGCGAACUCUCGUUAAGGAACUCGGCAAAAUGACCCCGUAACUUCGGGAGAAGGGGUGCUCUUUAGGGUUAACGCCCAGAAGAGCCGCAGUGAAUAGGCCCAAGCGACUGUUUAUCAAAAACACAGGUCUCUGCUAAACCGUAAGGUGAUGUAUAGGGGCUGACGCCUGCCCGGUGCUGGAAGGUUAAGAGGAGUGGUUAGCUUCUGCGAAGCUACGAAUCGAAGCCCCAGUAAACGGCGGCCGUAACUAUAACGGUCCUAAGGUAGCGAAAUUCCUUGUCGGGUAAGUUCCGACCCGCACGAAAGGCGUAACGAUUUGGGCACUGUCUCAACGAGAGACUCGGUGAAAUCAUAGUACCUGUGAAGAUGCAGGUUACCCGCGACAGGACGGAAAGACCCCGUGGAGCUUUACUGUAGCCUGAUAUUGAAAUUCGGCACAGCUUGUACAGGAUAGGUAGGAGCCUUUGAAACGUGAGCGCUAGCUUACGUGGAGGCGCUGGUGGGAUACUACCCUAGCUGUGUUGGCUUUCUAACCCGCACCACUUAUCGUGGUGGGAGACAGUGUCA
Molecule: ribosomal RNA, 1212 nt
Filed under: Staphylococcus aureus M0283
Lineage: Bacteria; Bacillati; Bacillota; Bacilli; Caryophanales; Staphylococcaceae
Description: bacterial LSU rRNA
Rfam family: Bacterial large subunit ribosomal RNA
Source: RNAcentral